Molecule: non-coding RNA, 903 nt
Filed under: Platypelis tuberifera (Ambatoharanana giant treefrog)
Lineage: Eukaryota; Metazoa; Chordata; Amphibia; Anura; Microhylidae
Description: 12S ribosomal RNA
Rfam family: Bacterial small subunit ribosomal RNA
Source: RNAcentral
CAAAGGUUUGGUCCUAGCCUUGUCCUCAACUGCUACUCAAUUUACACAUGCAAGUAUCUGCACACCCGUGAAAACGCCCUCACCCCUCAUACAGAACGAGGAGCCGGUAUCAGGCACAACAUUUUGCCCAUAACACCUAGCCACGCCACGCCCCCAAGGGUAUUCAGCAGUGAUAGACAUUAUCCAUCAGCGUCAGCUUGAUUUAGUUAGAGUAACAAGAGCCGGCCAAUUCGGUGCCAGCCGCCGCGGCUACCCCGCUUGGCUCAAGUUGACAUUAUCGGCGUUAAGCGUGAUUAAAGUAUCAUUAUUACUAGAAUCAAACCUAAACUAAGUUGUGACACACUUGUAUUCAGGAAGUCCCCAAACGAAAGUUAUUCUAUACCACUUGAACCCACGACAGCUGGAAAACAAACUGGGAUUAGGUACCCCACUAUGCCCAGCCGUAAAACAUUUACUCACACCUCAACCGCCAGGGAACUACAAGCCCAAUCUUAAAACCCAAAGGACUUGACGGUGUCCCACCCACCUAGAGGAGCCUGUUCUAUAAUCGACACCACCCGAUAUACCUUACCAUUUCUGGCCCAUCAGUCUGUAUACCUCCGUCGCAAGCUUACCAUGUGAACGCGUAGUGAGCUAGAAGAUUUUUUACCCACACGUCAGGUCAAGGUGCAACUCACGAAAUGGAAAGCAACGGGCUACAAUCUCUAUAAUAGAAUACACGAAAAACUGCAUGCAACACAGUCAUGAAGGUGGAUUUAGUAGUAAAAAGAAAUUAGAAAAUUCUUUUUAAUUAUGGCGCUGGGACGCGUACACACCGCCCGUCACCCUCUUCAAGCCCACCCACCAAGAAGAGGCAAGUCGUAACAUGGUAAGUGUACUGGAAAGUGCACUUGGACUAACAAA